Long non-coding RNA from Solanum dulcamara, 421 nucleotides. RefSeq lists it as uncharacterized. NCBI's taxonomy places the organism in Eukaryota, Viridiplantae, Streptophyta, Magnoliopsida, Solanales, Solanaceae. The record is from RefSeq and is a predicted model, not a curated record. The transcript is spliced from 3 exons.
CAAGAAAAAUCUAGAGAAAAGAAAGGGGAGAAACUUGAAGCUAGAGAGAGAGGGAGCUCGAAUUUGGGAGAAACAAAGCCCAAAACGUUACCAAACAGCCCCGAAGUUUCAGCUGCGCUAAGAAGGUUUCUGAGGCGCAAUUUUGGCUAGUUUUGGCCAAUUUCGGAUAAGGUACUAGCUGAAGAAACUGGGGAAUCCGCCAAUACGGCAUAACUUCAGGGAAGGAAACGUAACAGCUCACGCUCUAGAAAAUUAUGCAAGAAAAAGUAGUUUUAAAGGCUGUGUAACCCACUUAGUCCCUCCUCCUUGGACGCUACCAUCACUACUAUACGAUCAGCAAGGAUAGUCUACUACUAAAGAAGUGUUUACUAGUACUUGUAAUAAUCUAGCUCAGUUUGGGAAUAGUAAUAUCCCAGAUGUA